Small nucleolar RNA from Cavia aperea (Brazilian guinea pig), 113 nucleotides. The record is from Ensembl. NCBI's taxonomy places the organism in Eukaryota, Metazoa, Chordata, Mammalia, Rodentia, Caviidae.
AGACUCAAAUCGAUGAUAUGAACAAUGAAAGUGAUGUGGCCUACGAGAGGAACAGGUCAUGCCUUGAUCACAGUAAAUGUGUGACAGUGAGGACAACGAGACCUGUGACGUUU